Molecule: non-coding RNA, 221 nt
Filed under: Devosia sp. LC5
Lineage: Bacteria; Pseudomonadati; Pseudomonadota; Alphaproteobacteria; Hyphomicrobiales; Devosiaceae
Also listed under: 1 other name
Source: RNAcentral
CUUGUUGGCGCCGUUGAAGGUUCCUUCGCGGCCUGCCGGCCAACGGGGAUUAAAAGGGAACACGGUGCGACGUACCCAUCAGGGCGCAAAACCGUGGCUGCCCCCGCAACUGUAAGCGGUGAGUUCUGCUGGAAAUUGCCACUGAUCCUUGUCGGAUCGGGAAGGCCCAGACAGCGCAUAGACCCGUGAGCCAGGAGACCUGCCAUCGACAUGUCUUCAAC